CCAACUCCUCUCAUUCC
This 17-nucleotide microRNA is filed under the name Corchorus capsularis. RNAcentral describes it as "sRNA CCACVL1_20411". The record is from RNAcentral. Lineage: Eukaryota; Viridiplantae; Streptophyta; Magnoliopsida; Malvales; Malvaceae.